Molecule: ribosomal RNA, 440 nt
Filed under: uncultured bacterium
Lineage: Bacteria
Description: partial 16S ribosomal RNA
Rfam family: Bacterial small subunit ribosomal RNA
Source: RNAcentral
CUACGGGAGGCUGCAGUGAGGAAUAUUGCACAAUGGGGGGAACCCUGAUGUAGCAACGCCGCGUGGAGGAUGACGCAUUUCGGUGUGUAAACUCCUUUUAUAUGUCAAGAAAAUGACGGUAGCAUAUGAAUAAGCACCGGCUAACUCGCGUGCCAGCAGCCGCGGUAAUACGGAGGGUGCAAGCGUUACUCGGAAUCACUGGGCGUAAAGGACGCGUAGGCGGGUUGGAAAGUCAGGUGUGAAAUCCUACAGCUUAACUGUAGAACUGCACUUGAAACUUCUAAUCUAGAGUAUGGGAGGGGGAGAUGGAAUUAGUGGUGUAGGGGUAAAAUCCGUAGAUAUCACUAGGAAUACCUAAAGCGAAGGCGAUCUCCUGGAACAUUACUGACGCUAAGGCGUGAAAGCGUGGGGAGCAAACAGGAUUAGAUACCCUAGUAGUC